This 492-nucleotide ribosomal RNA is filed under the name uncultured bacterium. RNAcentral's name for it is "partial 16S ribosomal RNA". It matches the Rfam family "Bacterial small subunit ribosomal RNA", at positions 29 to 507 of the family's 1533-position model. The record is from RNAcentral.
AGUGAACGCUGGCGGUAGGCCUAACACAUGCGAGUCGAACGGCAGCACAGUAAGAGCUUGCUCUUACGGGUGGCGAGUGGCGGACGGGUGAGGAAUACAUCGGAAUCUACUUUUUCGUGGGGGAUAACGUAGGGAAACUUACGCUAAUACCGCAUACGACCUACGGGUGAAAGCAGGGGAUCUUCGGACCUUGCGCGAUUGAAUGAGCCGAUGUCGGAUUAGCUAGUUGGCGGGGUAAAGGCCCACCAAGGCGACGAUCCGAAGCUGGUCUGAGAGGAUGAUCAGCCACACUGGAACUGAGACACGGUCCAGACUCCUACGGGAGGCAGCAGUGGGGAAUAUUGGACAAUGGGCGCAAGCCUGAUCCAGCCGUACCGCGUGGGUGAAGAAGGCCUUCGGGUUGUAAAGCCCUUUUGUUGGGAAAGAAAAGCAGCAGGUUAAUACCCCGCUGUUCUGACGGUACCCAAAGAAUAAGCACCGGCUAACUUCGUG